GGCGGGGCGGGGCCACAGCCGCUGAAGGGUGAUGGGGGGACAAUUUCUGAGGGGAGCAGAUGGCACCCGAGGACUCGACAGCGUCCGUCCCGCAAUUUCCCUCCCAAAAAAAAAGUAGCGCCGUUAUUACGUAACAGCGGCCGGCGGCACCCAGAGACCGCGGAGACGCGAAGGGGCUGCGCGCGGGAAGCGCCGCUCUCCUCCCGGACGAGACGUGGUCUUUCUUCUAAAGCGCUUGCUAUCGCGACAAGAAGCCGGGGCGGAUGCGGCGAACGGAGGCGCGUGCAACCGAGGAGGUCGCGAACAUCACGCGGUUGCUCCCAAACGUCUCGUAGGCAAUGAGGGCAAUAGACAUCGAGUGCAACACCCUGUUCAGAGCAGGACCAGCCCCAAUUACAUCAUCCCAAACAACGUGUCAGGGUGUUUUUAAACCUUCCUCAGAGGCAUCUCCAGUCCAACCCCUUGCUCAAGAGUAGGACCGCCGCUAAAUACAUCUUCCCAGCCAAGGCUUUGUCUACCCAGGUCUUAAAAACCUCGACGGAUGGAUAUCGACCCUGUUCCAGUACUUCACCACCCUCCUAUUGAGGAAGUUUAGAUAUGAAGAUAUUAGAAAAACUUCUUCAUAUCUAAGCGAAUCUUCCCUCGCUUAGGUAGCUUGGGAAAACAGUGCCAAGUGACUUGCUGGCACAUUUGACAAAUGCAGAGUCAGGGCUGAGGUGGAUGACGAAGGGGAGACAAGGAUCGGUGCCUCAAUAGCGCUGUUAGAUGGGAGGAUUAAGUCGGAGAUGGGUCGUGAAAGGCCUUAAAAUGGUGGACAAGCGGCUGGGACUGAUCUCGGGGAGAAAAGGGAGCUAGUGGUAGACACGGAAGGAGCAUGCUUUUUACAGCAGUGACUCUGUCGCCAUUUAAACCUCACAGCAAGCACGCUGUCUUUGGGGUGCAAAGUGCUAUAUACGUCAAAAUGCAUCCUUUCGGCCAUCAGAAAGAGCCUGGUGACCAAAAGCCCUUGGUGUGCCUUCAGGUUUGGCAAUCAGGAAGGACCGAUGUGGACGCAGCAAACUGCACGGUGGAAGCCAGCUUGGAAAUAACUGUGGGAACGUGCUUGCGCAGCCUGCCCUCCACCUCCGAGAUGCGAGGUAACGCUGCAGCUCUGCAGAGGAAGUUCUCGUCUUUGUUGCUUCGUUUCUUUCCAAAAUCAUCGAGGUCUUUUUGAUCUUGAUCGUUCUGUUCCGAGCAUGGUCGCACCUCAGGAGAGAGGCUGGGUUUCCUCUGCCACGGUUUAACCCGUAAGCUGUAAAAUAAAACAUCCUCAUGUGUUACUGUAAAGACCUUCAAAGAAGACCCAGUCAAACACAGUGCAAAGGAGCUGGAAGGGGAAGAUCUACGAACACAGUGUGGGCUUCAGCUGACUGAAUACUGUGUCCUUUCCUCCGCAAGCUUAGUGCUCACAGCAUUGCAACUAUCAGAGCCUGAAACCCAUUCUGGUUCCAAAAAAUCCCCAUGUCACAUCGUUAAUAUGAGUGUGCUGUGAGGCCUACAGUCUCACACCAGGCUUCCUGUUAGUUCUUGCACACUGAACAGGAGUGAGUUGGGGAUCUUCAAAGAUGCUUGUGGUGCUAGUGAGCCAGGGCUUGGCGGUUUUCAAUUGAAUCAGAAACCAACCAGCGCCCUAACCGGCUGCUAGGGGACAUGCUGCUGCUAGUACUUUUCCUUUCCGAAGAAGAUAGGAACAAAGGACCCAACCACUUGUGCAUGCUAAGCAGUGUACACCCCAGUAUCCCAGCCAAUGUAUGCCUAGAUCUACUGGAUCUAGUGUAGGGGCCUGGACUGGAUACUCUCUUGAGGACCUUUCUAGCUCUGCAUUUUUGUUGUCAUGUUCUGCCUCGUUGAUGUCCCUGUGUGCUUUAUGCUACCCUCCUCUGCUUCCUAUCUCAUCCUGUUGUAUAUACUGCUUUUCCUGAUCAGGCUGAGCUGCUUUGCAAAAAAGAAAUUCCAGAUUUCUUGGGCCAGAGAAAAGCAAGGUGGAGAUGACUUAAGCCCUAGGACAGGGGAGACCUGGGUUCCCAUGCAAACAGUCCUCGAAGGGGACUCGACCACAUAGCGAUCCCUGGUAACAUCCGUGACGGCCAAGAGCUCCUGAAUGGACGAAAACGCCAAAGCACACAAAGAUGAAGAUACGGACCCCAUUUUUGUCAUACAAAAGUUGAAGUCCUUGGAGCAGGGACUGUCCCAGGCCUUUCCCUCUCCCAUGUGAGGGAUGAAGAAUGGAAGUUAUAAGUAGCCAGCACUUUGUAAGAUCUGAGCAAGAAAGAAAUAGAGACGUAGGGUCCGGUAUUUUGCCACCUGGUUAUUGAGGCCUCGAUUCAAGGAAGCGUAGGUUCACCUCCCUCCCUGCUCAGCGCAGCGCUUCAGCAGCACAGCGGAUCUGUUCAGAAUGACCCGAUUCCACUGUGGAAAUCAGAGCACUUUAUCUCUGUGGAAAGUGCAUGUAAGGCAUUAUACUCGUCUUUGCAUCGCUUUGCCCAGGCAUAAAUGACUUCUCAAGGUGUGGGCUGGUACAGGACAAUCAGACCCAGACUACUUUUAGGGGUCAGAUCCUGCUUGCCUUGAUUUUGAUCUUGCCUCAGUCACUUCAGCAGACCCAUGAACCUCAGUGGCACCUACCAGGAUUUGGGCCUUGUGUGACUGCAGAAAUAUCACCGUGCGACAGAAGAUGCCAUAAAAUGGAAGUUACCACAGACAGUAAAGGGGAAGGUCUCUUUCUACUUCCUUUUUCUCCCACAGAACAGCAGGAGAGAGGAGAGGCUCUGCGUGGGUGUGAUCUGACCUAUUCUGCAGCGGCCUCUUUUCUUUUCCCAUCCGCCUCCUAUAUCAGAACAGCCCUGCCGCUACACAGCAAGUCCAGCGUAUGGAUUGCAGGCAGACUGGGGACUUGACCAAGGCAGCACAAGAAGUCUGUGGUGGAGAAGUGCCUGGUGGACCAUCCAUCCUUUUCCGUAGGAUUUGAACCUGCCCCCAGCUGCAAAGUGCAGUACUCAUCACUGCCCCAUCAAUGAGGGGAUGAAGCAGGAGAGAAGGAAGGGGCCAGUACGGGGUCAGAGACCCUCUAUGGGCUCUGAAUUUCUUCCCCAUGUUGAUCCUCUUUGCAACCCGCCAACUCAUGGGAUAUGAACGGAGGGUAAUUAACACCCUGAGAGCAUCCUGCACUUGCCAAACUGUGGAAAUACUCAUCAAUUAAUGAAUCCCACAGCUAAUUAACCAGCUGGGCUCCUAGCACCUGCUGGAGAUUGGAGCUCUUGACAGAUCGGCAUGUUUCUCGGAGCAUGGACCCUGCCUGCAGCCCCCCAGCCUGUUUCAGGGGUUUGCAGAUGCGAACAACCAGGGUAACAGCCUGAAGCUGAAGCUCCCUCGCUGCUGCAUGCUCAGAAACGGUCAGUGUCUCCUUUACGCAUUGGAAGCUGUGCCAGGGUGGAUUGCAAGCGAGUCCCAGGUGACCAGCUGGGCUGGAUCGGGGCCUCACCUGGCGUCCAGCCUCCAGCACUGCAGGUGCAAGGUGACCUCGGAGAACCCUCCGCGCUGGUGAAAGACUGAAAGGGAGCACUUCGCGGCCGGCAAUCACACAGGCUCGUUGGGGACCUGCAGGUGCACGUUGGCAGCAAAAGGAGGCAUCCUUCGUGCGGAAAGAGCUGCAAACCAACUCUCCCGAUCUCGUGACGGGAUCAAGGAAUUGGCUGUUCUCUAACCCGAUACCGCAGGUGAAAGCGUUUCACUUUCCGUGGUCCACAAUGGGUCUUUAUCCACCUGCCUUCGUGGGGCCCAGCAAGGACGAGGAAUACAAACCGUUCCUUUUAGUCUGGGAAGGCACAAGUUUGAUCCACCCCAGCUGGAAGACAGCAUCGCUUCCUUCUCACGUAAGCUGCUGCGAGGUGGGGGGCGGCUCUGCAGGGAGGAUGGGUCGCAGAACUGGAUUGCGAAGCCUGGUGAAAUCGGGGCAUCUCUGUCCCUCAUCCUGUUUUCGAUGAAGCUAUGAACUGGCAGGCGCUCUCGAUACGGAGUAGAGGGAUAGGGAGGGUGGGCGGAUAUAGCAAUAAAUGAUGAACUGACCUUAAAGGUCCUGUCAAAGCGUGUGCUUAGCUGAUGCUGGAGGCACCACGGAGCAGGCCCUUCCCACCUGUCGACAUUUUUGUGGUUAUUCACCAAAAGAUUAGUGCCAAAAUCACCGGGGAGUAUAUCUGCAUUUAGGGUAAGUUCGUAGUGGGCUGGCUUUGGUUAUAGAUGCACAUUCCCCAGGGAUAAAGUGUGGUGUGCACCUUUUAACGUAUGGGGAGAUUCCUUUGCCUUCUUGCUAGAUAACGUGUUGCCAUAAAAUGGAAGGUCUUCCACCAUCA
Molecule: long non-coding RNA, 4388 nt
Organism: Alligator mississippiensis (American alligator)
Lineage: Eukaryota; Metazoa; Chordata; Crocodylia; Alligatoridae
Exons: 5
Source: RefSeq, a predicted model, not a curated record